CCUACGGGAGGCAGCAGUGGGGAAUAUUGGACAAUGGGCGAAAGCCUGAUCCAGCCAUGCCGCGUGUGUGAAGAAGGCCUUCGGGUUGUAAAGCACUUUCAGUGGGGAGGAAAGCCUUGAGGCUAAUACGCUCGAGCUAUGACAUCACCCACAGAAGAAGCACCGGCUAACUCCGUGCCAGCAGCCGCGGUAAUACGGAGGGUGCGAGCGUUAAUCGGAAUUACUGGGCGUAAAGCGCGCGUAGGCGGUCUGAUAAGCCGGUUGUGAAAGCCCCGGGCUCAACCUGGGAACGGCAUCCGGAACUGUCAGGCUAGAGUGCAGGAGAGGAAGGUAGAAUUCCCGGUGUAGCGGUGAAAUGCGUAGAUAUAGGGAGGAAUACCAGUGGCGAAGGCGGCCUUCUGGACUGACACUGACGCUGAGGUGCGAAAGCGUGGGUAGCAAACAGGAUUAGAUACCCUAGUAGUC
This 465-nucleotide ribosomal RNA is filed under the name Vreelandella stevensii. Its description in RNAcentral is "partial 16S ribosomal RNA". It matches the Rfam family "Bacterial small subunit ribosomal RNA", at positions 338 to 795 of the family's 1533-position model. The record is from RNAcentral. Lineage: Bacteria; Pseudomonadati; Pseudomonadota; Gammaproteobacteria; Oceanospirillales; Halomonadaceae.